Molecule: ribosomal RNA, 495 nt
Filed under: uncultured bacterium
Lineage: Bacteria
Description: bacterial SSU rRNA
Rfam family: Bacterial small subunit ribosomal RNA
Source: RNAcentral
AAAGGAAUUGACGGGGGCCCGCACAAGUGGUGGAGCAUGUGGUUUAAUUCGACGCUACGCGAAGAACCUUACCUGGGUUUGACAUGCACAGGAAGACUACAGAGAUGUAGUUCGUCCUUCGGGACCUGUGCACAGGUGCUGCAUGGCUGUCGUCAGCUCGUGCCGUGAGGUGUUGGGUUAAGUCCCGCAACGAGCGCAACCCUUAUCCUUAGUUGCCAUCGGGUGAUGCCGGGCACUCUGGGGAGACUGCCAGCAUAAGUUGGAGGAAGGUGGGGAUGACGUCAAGUCAGCAUGGCCCUUACGUCCAGGGCUACACACGUGCUACAAUGGCUGGUACAAAGGGUUGCCAACCCGCGAGGGGGAGCGAAUCCCAUAAAGCCAGUCUCAGUUCGGAUUGCAGGCUGCAACUCGCCUGCAUGAAGUCGGAAUCACUAGUAACCGCAGAUCAGCUACGCUGCGGUGAAUGCGUUCCCGGGCCUUGUACACACCGCCCGU